AAAUAGGUAAGCUAAAUACCCCAAGCUAAUGGGCUCAUACCCCAUAUAUAGGAAUAUCCUCCUAUUUA
This 68-nucleotide transfer RNA is filed under the name Tegra novaehollandiae viridinotata. Its description in RNAcentral is "tRNA-Met". The record is from RNAcentral. Lineage: Eukaryota; Metazoa; Arthropoda; Insecta; Orthoptera; Tettigoniidae.